RNAcentral lists this ribosomal RNA (503 nucleotides) under Escherichia coli. RNAcentral describes it as "partial 23S ribosomal RNA". It matches the Rfam family "Bacterial large subunit ribosomal RNA", at positions 2296 to 2798 of the family's 2925-position model. Lineage: Bacteria; Pseudomonadati; Pseudomonadota; Gammaproteobacteria; Enterobacterales; Enterobacteriaceae. The record is from RNAcentral.
AGUAACGGAGGAGCACGAAGGUUGGCUAAUCCUGGUCGGACAUCAGGAGGUUAGUGCAAUGGCAUAAGCCAGCUUGACUGCGAGCGUGACGGCGCGAGCAGGUGCGAAAGCAGGUCAUAGUGAUCCGGUGGUUCUGAAUGGAAGGGCCAUCGCUCAACGGAUAAAAGGUACUCCGGGGAUAACAGGCUGAUACCGCCCAAGAGUUCAUAUCGACGGCGGUGUUUGGCACCUCGAUGUCGGCUCAUCACAUCCUGGGGCUGAAGUAGGUCCCAAGGGUAUGGCUGUUCGCCAUUUAAAGUGGUACGCGAGCUGGGUUUAGAACGUCGUGAGACAGUUCGGUCCCUAUCUGCCGUGGGCGCUGGAGAACUGAGGGGGGCUGCUCCUAGUACGAGAGGACCGGAGUGGACGCAUCACUGGUGUUCGGGUUGUCAUGCCAAUGGCACUGCCCGGUAGCUAAAUGCGGAAGAGAUAAGUGCUGAAAGCAUCUAAGCACGAAACUUGCC